Molecule: ribosomal RNA, 479 nt
Filed under: uncultured bacterium
Lineage: Bacteria
Description: partial 16S ribosomal RNA
Rfam family: Bacterial small subunit ribosomal RNA
Source: RNAcentral
GAUGAACGCUAGCGGGAGGCCUAACACAUGCAAGCCGAGCGGUAGAGUUUCUUCGGAAACUUGAGAGCGGCGCACGGGUGCGUAACACGUGUGCAACCUACCUUUAUCUGGGGGAUAGCCUUUCGAAAGGAAGAUUAAUACCCCAUAAUAUAAUGAUUGGCAUCAAUUAUUAUUGAAAACUCCGGUGGAUAGAGAUGGGCACGCGCAAGAUUAGAUAGUUGGUGAGGUAACGGCUCACCAAGUCAAUGAUCUUUAGGGGUCCUGAGAGGGAGAUCCCCCACACUGGUACUGAGACACGGACCAGACUCCUACGGGAGGCAGCAGUGAGGAAUAUUGGACAAUGGGUGAGAGCCUGAUCCAGCCAUCCCGCGUGAAGGAUGACGGUCCUAUGGAUUGUAAACUUCUUUUGUACAGGGAUAAACCUACCCUCGUGAGGGUAGCUGAAGGUACCGUACGAAUAAGCACCGGCUAACUCCGUG